GGAUCACCUGAGGUCAGGAGUUCCAGACCAGCCUGGCUAACAUGACGAAACUCCGUUUCUACUAAAAAUACAAAAAAAUUAGCCAGGCGUGGUGGCACGCACCUGUAAUCCCAGCUACUUGGGAGGCUGAGGCAGAAUUGCUUGAACCCAGGAGGCGGAGGUUGCAGUGAGCCAAGAUUGCGCCAUUGCACUCCACUUGGGCAACAAGAGCAAAACUCCAUCUCAACAACAACAACAAAAGCACUCAAGUAAUGUUGAAGCUUUUAAGCUGAAUGAUGAAUACACACAUGAUCACUGUAUUGGGCUCUAUAGCUUGUUACUAGGAAAAGGGGUAUCUCACUGAGCUCUGGUGUGGGGAGGGGCAGGCAGAUAGGGGCAGGGGGCUGAACAAGGCUUUUGAGGACAUGUCCCCUGCACUGAAAUCAGAAGAACUAACGGGCAGCAGCCAGGCCAAGAAAGCUGGGCUUAAAGAUAUGUUCAUGGAUCUAGGGGCAGAAAAAGUAUCUCGACAGAGGUAACAACAGCAAUGGCUUGAAGGCAGGCGAAAGCAUGAGGAAUCAAGGAAACAAAUUAUAUCAAAGUAUUACCACCAUAGGACAAAAUGUUAAUUUGGCUCCAUCCCAGCUAGAUACUAAAAAGCUAGUACAAACAUGCUAAUGCAACAGUGAGCAUAUAUUUAGGAAAAUAAAAAAACUAAGGAGGAGAAAGACUCACCAACCAAGAAACCAAAGCAAAUAUCCAGCUAAAUAAUCCCUAGAUUUUAACAUUUCCAAUUAAUAUAGCUAUAACAUUUUUAAAAAUUAAAUACUACGCUGCAAGAAAAAUGAGAACUCAAGAUACUAAAGAAUUCAUAAGAAUACAAUGUGAAAGAUCAGAUAUUUUGAAUUACAUAAUGUUGAUAAAUUCUGAGCCAGUAUCAUGAGUGGCACUGUAGUGAAAUGAGGACAUUGACAAAAACUGGCUCUGCUGAUGCAGAAACAUUAGGAGAGACCUCAAAGCCACGUGUGAUAAGGAGGUAUUAGAUUUAAGAAUGUGGCUCCUGGCAGUGCAAUGAGAAAAAAGGUCCUCAACACCUUCCCAUGAGGAGGCCUUCGUAAAAAAUGACAGUUCUAAGAGGGGCUUUCAAAACAAGGAUUGACAAGAUGAUCCCUAAAGUAUCUGAGUUGGGGAAAGAGGAGGAUUUAGAAAAACAAGACUCCAU
RNAcentral lists this long non-coding RNA (1201 nucleotides) under Homo sapiens (human). RNAcentral describes it as "HSALNT0068072". Lineage: Eukaryota; Metazoa; Chordata; Mammalia; Primates; Hominidae. The record is from RNAcentral.